GAUGAACGCUAGCUACAGGCUUAACACAUGCGAGUCGAGGGGUAACAAGGGGAAAGCUUGCUUUUCUUGUUGACGACCGGCGCACGGGUGAGUAACGCGUAUCCAACCUGCCUAUAACUAGGGAAUAACCUUGCGAAAGUAAGACUAAUACCCUAUGAUUUCCUUUGAUGACAUCAGAUUAGGAAUAAAGAUUUAUCGGUUAUAGAUGGGGAUGCGUCUGAUUAGCUUGUUGGCGGGGUAACGGCCCACCAAGGCAACGAUCAGUAGGGGUUCUGAGAGGAAGGUCCCCCACAUUGGGACUGAGACACGGUCCAAACUCCUACGGGAGGCAGCAGUGAGGAAUAUUGGUCAAUGGGCGGAAGCCUGAACCAGCCAAGUAGCGUGCAGGAUGACGGCCCUAUGGGUUGUAAACUGCUUUUAUACAGGAAUAAAGUUAGCCACGUGUGGUUAUUUGUAGGUACUGUAUGAAUAAGGACCGGCUAAUUCCGUGCCAGCCGCCGCGGUAA
Molecule: ribosomal RNA, 506 nt
Filed under: uncultured bacterium
Lineage: Bacteria
Description: partial 16S ribosomal RNA
Rfam family: Bacterial small subunit ribosomal RNA
Source: RNAcentral